ACUAUAUUGUUCUGGUUCUUUAUUUUUCUUGAAGUUCUCGUAUGCAACACUCGUAUGAUAUAGGUACAAGGAUAUAAUCUUCUAAGCACUCUCUUAAUUUAGAGAAUGUUAAAAAAAAAGUUAACAUACAUUUGUUGGACACACACGUGUCUGAUACUCUCACUCGAGUCGAGUAAUAUAAAUUCCUAAAUUUUGAAGUCUGGAUCCUGAUACUGUUUAGGCAUUUGAGUUGUUUCAUGCACACGUGUCUGACAGGAUAAGUUUUCUGGCCAGGAUUAUGAGAGUGAGGAUAAGUUCCCCAUACCAGAUGAUCGCAUUAGUCACUUGCUGCCUACAUCUUAUCAGGAUAUGAUAGUGAGGGUAUUCGAAGAAACCUGAAUUGGUAGCAGCUGUCUCAGAGGCGUUUGAAAAUUUUCAACUAAAAGUCUACGGAGUUAAAGCUCAAGUGCACGACACCGGAGAAGAAGAAACGGCGCAUUUGAGG
Hibiscus syriacus is the source of this 484-nucleotide long non-coding RNA. RefSeq lists it as uncharacterized. The transcript is spliced from 2 exons. NCBI's taxonomy places the organism in Eukaryota, Viridiplantae, Streptophyta, Magnoliopsida, Malvales, Malvaceae. The record is from RefSeq and is a predicted model, not a curated record.